RNAcentral lists this ribosomal RNA (426 nucleotides) under uncultured bacterium. RNAcentral describes it as "bacterial SSU rRNA". It matches the Rfam family "Bacterial small subunit ribosomal RNA", at positions 354 to 796 of the family's 1533-position model. The record is from RNAcentral.
GUGAGGAAUUUUUCGCAAUGGGGGCAACCCUGACGAAGCAACACCGCGUGGAGGAUGAAUGGCUUUUGCUUGUAAACUCCUUUUUUGAGGGAAUAAAUAUGAAGGUACCUCAAGAAUAAGCAUCGGCUAACUACGUGCCAGCAGCCGCGGUAAGACGUAGGAUGCAAGCGUUAUCCGGAAUUAUUGGGCGUAAAGAGUUCGUAGACGAAUUGUUAAGUAGAAUGUUAAAGACCAGGGCCUAACCCUGGCAAGGCAUUCUAAACUGGCAGAAUAGAGUAAUGCAGGGGCAAGUGGAAUUCUGUAUGUAGGGGUAAUAUCCGUAGAUAUACAGAGGAACACCAAAAGCGAAGGCAGCUUGCUGGGCAUUUACUGACGUUCAAGAACGAAAGCGUGGGGAGCAAACAGGAUUAGAUACCCUAGUAGUCC